Molecule: ribosomal RNA, 446 nt
Filed under: uncultured soil bacterium
Lineage: Bacteria
Description: bacterial SSU rRNA
Rfam family: Bacterial small subunit ribosomal RNA
Source: RNAcentral
AGAGCGAACGCUGGCGGCAGGCCUAACACAUGCAAGUCGAACGGACCCUUCGGGGUUAGUGGCGGACGGGUGAGUAACACGUGGGAACGUGCCUUUUGGUUCGGAAUAGCUCCUGGAAACGGGUGGUAAUGCCGAAUGUGCCCUUCGGGGGAAAGAUUUAUCGCCAUUAGAGCGGCCCGCGUCUGAUUAGCUAGUUGGUGAGGUAAUGGCUCACCACGGCGACGAUCAGUAGCUGGUCUGAGAGGAUGACCAGCCACAUUGGGACUGAGACACGGCCCAAACUCCUACGGGAGGCAGCAGUGGGGAAUCUUGCGCAAUGGGCGAAAGCCUGACGCAGCCAUGCCGCGUGAAUGAUGAAGGUCUUAGGAUUGUAAAAUUCUUUCACCGGGGACGAUAAUGACGGUACCCGGAGAAGAAGCCCCGGCUAACUUCGUGCCAGCAGCCGC